AUGGCUGUCGUCAGCUCGUGUCGUGAGAUGUUGGGUUAAGUCCCGCAACGAGCGCAACCCUUGUCCGAUGUUACCAGCGGGUUAUGCCGGGGACUCGUCGGAGACUGCCGGGGUCAACUCGGAGGAAGGUGGGGAUGACGUCAAGUCAUCAUGCCCCUUACGUCCAGGGCUGCACACAUGCUACAAUGGCCGGUACAACGGGCUGCUAUCCCGCGAGGGGGAGCCAAUCCCAAAAGCCGGUCUCAGUUCGGAUUGCAGUCUGCAACUCGACUGCAUGAAGUCGGAGUCGCUAGUAAUCCCGGAUCAGCAACGCCGGGGUGAAUACGUUCCCGGGCCUUGUACACACCGCCCGUCACACCACGAAAGUCGGCAACACCCGAAGCCGGUGGCCCAACCCCUUGGGGAGGGAGCCGUCGAAGGUGGGGUCGGCGAUUGGGGUGAAGUCGUAACAAGGUAGCCGUACCGGAAGGUGCGGCUGGAUCACCUCCUUUCUAGGGAGAAACAUGGCAUCGGUUCUACGGAACCGUUGGCAUUCCGAUUGAGUCUAACUCUCGGAAUCCUAGAGCUAAUGUUGAUUUGGCUUCUUGGUGUCGGUAGACACGUCACAGUAUCUGGUCUUCAGGGCUUCAGGCCCUUUGCACGCGCCCUCAUGGGGCGCGUCUGCACCUUGAAAGCUGCAUAGCGCGAGAUCAGAUCACGAAUGAUAUAGAUCAAGAUAUUAAGGGCACACGGUGGAUGCCUUGGCGCUAGAAGCCGAUGAAGGACGUGGCAAGCUGCGAUAAGCCUCGGGUAGGUGCACACAACCGUCAAUCCGAGGAUGUCCGAAUGGGGAAACCCGG
RNAcentral lists this small RNA (839 nucleotides) under uncultured Acidimicrobiales bacterium. RNAcentral's name for it is "bacterial SSU rRNA". The stretch from base 1 to 491 matches the Rfam family "Bacterial small subunit ribosomal RNA", at positions 1045 to 1533 of the family's 1533-position model. The record is from RNAcentral. Lineage: Bacteria; Bacillati; Actinomycetota; Acidimicrobiia; Acidimicrobiales.